RNAcentral lists this ribosomal RNA (402 nucleotides) under uncultured bacterium. RNAcentral's name for it is "bacterial SSU rRNA". It matches the Rfam family "Bacterial small subunit ribosomal RNA", at positions 355 to 774 of the family's 1533-position model. The record is from RNAcentral.
UGGGGAAUAUUGCACAAUGGGCGAAAGCCUGAUGCAGCAACGCCGCGUGAGUGAUGAAGGCCUUCGGGUUGUAAAGCUCUGUCUUCUGGGACGAUAAUGACGGUACCAGAGGAGGAAGCCACGGCUAACUACGUGCCAGCAGCCGCGGUAAUACGUAGGUGGCAAGCGUUGUCCGGAUUUACUGGGCGUAAAGGAUGCGUAGGCGGAUACUUAAGUCAGAUGUGAAAAUCCCGGGCUUAACUUGGGAACUGCAUUUGAAACUGGGUAUCUAGAGUGCGGGAGAGGAAAGUGGAAUUCCUAGUGUAGCGGUGAAAUGCGUAGAGAUUAGGAAGAACACCAGUGGCGAAGGCGACUUUCUGGACCGUAACUGACGCUGAGGCAUGGAAGCGUGGGGAGCAAACA